CCAGACAGCAUGGGGCUUGUGGCUUUGUGGCUUGAGCUUCUGGCUCUGAAAGGAAAACCUGGGAACCCAGGACCCAGGUCCCUGCAGCCACUGGGGCACUUCAGCACAGCCUGGCUACCUGUCACCCGGACAGCGGCUGAGAUGGGAUUUGGGUUCACACCCACAGCUCAGGAAAAACAAAUCUGGGUGUGGACGCGGAUUGGGACAUCGUGAUGAUCCAGGCAGCAGAAUUUCUCCAGACACCACCCAACCGGAGAGCAAGAUGGGAUGCAGCCCAACUGCAGGUCUAAACCCUACUUAUCGAUGUGCAGCUGAAAGACCACCUCCUCCAGGAAGUCCCCUGGAUUGCCCUGCUUGACAAGAGCUCUCUUGCGUCUGAGUUCCCACGGCCCGUCCUCGCCUCUUUUGAGCCACUUGCCACGGUGCACUCUGGUUACUUGGUGUUGUGUGUUGACUCGCGUCCCCCUCUUGAAAAGAUGUGUUGAAAUCCUAAGACCUGGUUCCUGUGAAUGUGACCUUAUUUGGGGUCUUCACGGAUGUGACUAGGUCAGAGGAGGUCACAGUCAGUUACCGUGGGUCCCGAACCCAUAGGCCCAGUGUCUUUACAGAGACACAGAGAUAGACACACAGGGUGAACGCCGUGUGACAAGAGAGGCCGAGACUGGAGUGAUGCAGCUGGAAGCCGAGGGAUGCUCAGGAUGGAGGCCACCCCCAGAGGCCAGGAGGAGGCAGGGAAGGCUCCACCCAGCAUCUCGGAGGAGGCCGGCUGACCCGGGAUCUCAGCCUUCUGGCCUCCAGACGGCGCGAGGACAGACUUCCGUGGUUUUAACCCACUCGGCUCGUGGUACCUUCUUCUAGCCGUCCUACGACACCCAUCCAUCGGGGUUCAGCCUCCCUUCCUCCUGGAGAAGGUUCCCCACUCCACACCACGUCUGGCUCAGUAUCGAUGCUCAGGAAAUACUUCCUGAGGCGUGAACAGCUGCAUGAGGACUAUCCACAUCUGGCUGGUUUUCGGUCCCCAAAUUGCACAGCAGGGACGGAGGCACCGUCCCACCUCACGUCCCUGUGGCCUCCAGUCUGGAUCCCCGCGGCAGACCCCGCCCUGGUCUCCUCACCUCCCCUCUGGUCUUCCGGCCGCUUCCUCCAGCUCUGCUGAACUCUUGAGCCUUUCUGCGCUGGUUGGGCUUGCCAGCCUCUGGGCCUUUGCCCGUGCUGUGCCCUUGACCUGAGCCCUCGGCCCCCUUGUCCUUCACGCCUGGACUCCAGCGGCUCCAGCGGGCUGCCUGGACACCGCCCAGCCUCUUCCCGGAGCUCUGGUUCCUCCCCUGCUCGUGCUCUCCUGGCACCUCUGCGUAUUCUGUCCCCGGGACAGAGCCUGUCAACCUGGAUUACAGUCAUUUGUGUCCCCUCUGUCCGCCCUGUGGCCUCUCAGUAUCUUGGGCUGAAAGGCCCUUUAUUUCUCAUCUCGUGUCGCGGUGCCUCCAGCAGGGGAGGCGCCUGGAUGCCUGUGACACAAGCGAGGGGAUGAAUCGGACUGAGCGCGAGGAGCAGCGAGUGGUCCGCCCUACCUUAGGGGGCGGGCAGUGGUUUUCGCAUCUGCUGGCUCCCUUCCAGGACGCGGGGGCCCGAAGAACGAGGAGGCUGGAGGGACACUGACGAGCAGAGCCUGAGGGGGCUGUCCAGUGGCUUCCUGGUCUGCCCUUUGCAGGUCUGAGCCGAAGGACCCAAGAGAGGAGGAAGGAAGAAGCUUGUCCAGGUCACACAGUACGUGGGGGCGCCUCCCCCCGCAGCCCCAAGAUCUGGCUAGUGUCCCCGGUCCGUUUGCUCAACGAGGCUCUGGAGCCUGGGAGGCCAGAACUGGGGGUGUGGUGGGGAAAGGAGGCGGGAGAGGAGACCGCGCCCCCGGGGAGAAGAUGACAACCUCCACUUCCAGCACAGCCCUGUGUGCCAGGCCCUGGCCCGCUGCUCUGACCCACCACCCCGAAUGCCCAGCACAGCCCCGGGGGGCAGGUGCCGUUGACAGAUGAAGGAGCUGAGGUCCAGCAGCCCCAGGUCCCACAGCCGGUAGAGCUGCCAUUUGACCCCAAGCCCUCCCAGCCCAAAGGCUGUGAGCUUUCUACUACAUCAGGAUGCCUCUUUCAUGAAACGCAGCAGCAUCUGGGUCCGGUCUUGGCCUCAGCGGUGGCCAGUCCAAAAGGGCAGCAAACCUGAUGUUUUCUCAGGUACCCAGAGAACAUCUUGUAGUUUGUGUUUUUCAACGUGGACGGGAAACCUCUGGGUCCCCAGGCCCUUGAAGAAGUUCCUUUUCCCAGUGGAGCAGUUACGGCAAGAGGAAGGAGCACAGAGACCAGGCAGGGGGCUCAGAUGCAGAGGAUUCCAUCCACCUUGUGAUGGCGCUAACACAAGAGGCCAAAGGCCACAUUAAUAGAGGUGGAGUGUCGAGGAGGAGAGAGGUGAUUACUCUGUCAGGUGUUGCAGGGGUCAAACAACAGUCUGAGCAGAGUCCACUCCUGGGACCUCACAUGGAGAGAGAUGUGGCCUGGUGAGGGGGCUGGGAAGUUUUAGCCCAGAGAAGACACAGCAGGAAACGAGGACUGUCAUCAAUACCUCAAGAGCUCUCCAGUGGAUGAGCAAUUAGACAGACUCCUUCUGGUUCUAAGAGCUGGGCAAGGACCAGCAGCUGGAGGGCACAGGAAGACAGAUUUCACAACUCUCCUCUCAAGGCACCAGGGGGCCCUCGGGGAGUAAGGCCUCCGUCCCAGAAGUCAUUCAACUGAGAUGAUAAAAAGGCUCUGCCAGCAAAGCUUCCUGGACCUGGAACACAGGCCCCGGUUGUGUUCAGGCUGGAAAGCGCUCAAGGACGAGGACAGAACCAGAAGAUCGUUCUGGACGCGGGAAUGCCACACAUCCUGGCAACCACGAGUGGGCGUGCAGCCCUCCCAGGCCAGCUGGUGAGCUCCUGGCAGGACGAGAGACGGCCCAUUAGAAGGCAAAAGAAAACACACAGGGUCACCCGAGCCCCUGCCUGUCCCUGUGGUCCAGCAGCACCGGAGCUCCAGCCACACAGGACCUUUCCUUGAGCACCUACUGUGUGCCAGGCCCUAUGUCUUGCCUCACCGUUUCGGUUCAUCCUCACAAUAACCCCAGGAGACAGGCAAUAUCACUAUGCCUGGUUCACAUCUAAGGAGGCCAAGAUCCAGAAAGACGCAGCGACUUGCGCAAACCCGGAGCUGACUUGCACAAAUGCAGAGCGGAACUGGAACCCAGGUGUCUCUGCUUUUUCCAGCCUCCCUGGCUGCCAGCGUGCUGUUCCCCACGCGUGUCCCCGGCUGUCUGGCCUCCUCGCCUUUGUCCACACUGCUCCCCCAACCCAGAAUGCUCUGGCCCUGACGGCCACUGAGCAGCAUCCUUCUGGUUCUUCAGACCCAAGUCAUGGCCUCUUCUUCCCUGAAGCCCUCCUGGAUCCCACCUCCCACCAGAACAGAGAGGCUGAUUGCUACGUUCCCAGGGCACUUGGCUUCCACUGGUAAUCAGCCUCAUUUUCAUCUGCCUUAUAGUUGCUGAUUUCCAGGACAAUCUCUUAAAUCUCAGUCUCCAGCCCCACUGCUACCACCCAGCCCCCCACACCACAACCCUGCCCUCAGGGCCUCACUCAGAGUCUUUUCCCACAGCAGGGCUUCCCGCUGUCCCUUUGGUGAACGGCGCUGGUCCGGGACCCAAGUGUAGACGGAGUAGAGGGCAGUGUAGUCUACUGGUCUCAUGAAGGAGCCCUGGCUUCUAAGCUGGAAAAGCUGGGUUUGAGACUCAGUUCUAAACUAAUUCACUGUGUGACCUGGGCUAAGGCCUCUCCUGAGGGAGACUAAGGCAGGCUCGGCUGGAGCAGGGCAUUCUGCCGCGAGUAAGAAGAGACGAAUCUGGGCGGGUCAGCUGAGGGGCCUUGAAUGCCACGACAGGAAUGUGGAGCCGCUCUGACACGCAGUGGGGAGUGGCUGCUGAUCCCUCGAGGGAAGGGACAGGAAAGUGGGGUUGGGGGCUGCUCCUCUGGCACCCAUGUGGAGGAUGAUGGAAAGAGAACUGGCCCUGAGAGACCACUCAGAGGCCUGCUCGCUGUGGGAAGCCUGGCUGUCUCGAGAUGAGGGUCUGGGCCGGCGCGUGUGGCAGCAGGAUUGAGCAGGGAGAGCUUCUGGAGACAUCUUAAAAGAAGAAUCUUCCAGAACUCAGUGAUGCUGGCAAGUGGCCAGGAGGGGACAUAGGCACAAAGCUGGCCCAGUGGUUUGAUCCUGGGUGGGGAGGCCUGGAGAGUGACGGACAGAUGAAUGCAGAGAACCGGGCUGAGCAUCCGUGAGCUGGUACCCAGGGGAGACGGAUGGUGGCGAGAGACAGGGAAAAGAAGACCUGGCUUCCGGUCUCCAUCAUGGCCCCUUACCUUGAGCAGGUCACUCGUCCUCUCUGAGGCUGUUUUGUCAUCUGUGAAAUGGGGAGAGGCAUCGUGCCUACGUGGAGGCAUCCUGAUAUGGAUGGUGUGAGGCUUCCGUGCACUAAUGGGUACCGUGCGUGUGCAAAGCCUCACAAACACUUACUGUUAUAAUGGCUAUGAGUUCACAAUCAAUUUUUAUUCCACAACGUAAUAACCACAGCCACCAUCUAUGGAUCGCACGCCACGCGCCAGACACUGUCCGAGGUGAUUUGUUUACACCCGUGAUCUGAUUUCUUCCUCACAAGAAUUCUACAAGACCCCCUGCAUUCUGUGGACAGGAACACUGAUGACCAGAGAAGUUAGGCAACUUCCCUAAGACCUCACAGCUGAUAAGUGGCACUCACCUCCAACAUGCGUUUCAGAAGCACCUCGUGGGUACCAGACACUGGCUGGAACACGAAGGGGUGUAAAACCUGGCCGGGCCCUUCAACAGCCCUCAUUGCAGCUCCCAGCCUACAGAGGAGCUGUUUGUUCUGGAAUUCCAUUCUCUCGGCUGUGAAUGCUGAUAGACAGGGAACAAAUAUCUCUUGGCUCGACUCUCUGAGAGCCGGGCCCUGGGAAGGGAUGUCAAGCCCCGAGACCAUUGUCCGGGAUCAGCCGCUGCCCCGGCCCACCGCCUUUCAUCCAUCUUCGCUGGGUGCUAUUAUUCAGCUCUGAGCCCUCCCCGGGAGCUGCGAGGCAGUUAAUUACAGAAGCAUAAUCCCCUUCUUCAAAAGAAGCUGAUCUUCCAGGGUUGUGAGAAGAUAAGAUUUAUGCCUCUUUCAAUUCCUUUAUUCUCUCAUCAACAUAGAUUCAUAUUUCAGUUCCCCGCAUCGGAAACAAAAAGGGGAGCCGCUCAGCCCACGGCUGCGGGAGAGAGAUAAAUUAGGCUGCACAAAGAGCCAGUCCUGUAAACUCCAUCUCUUUCCCUUCCUUUCAUGUUUGUGAUUAUAAACCGAGUCAAGGGCAGUUGAAAUACAUCCCUCUGCCUGCCGGUCUGCCUUGUCCUGCUCAAAGAGAAGAGACAGAUGUGGCGAGAGCAAUCCUUGUGGUACCGCGGAAAGAGGGACACAGGCCCCCCGCGGUCCGACGUCAGCCCGGCGAGCAGAUCAGAUGGAAAGGCCUUUGUCUCCUGCCAUUCUCAGGUCACAAAAUUGUUUCAAGAGGCCACGAGAGAAGCUGGACACCAGGCCACUGAGCAUCCUUUCAUUUUCUUGAUGGCAACAUGUGUGAUGCUAUUUUCUCAAAAGAAAGGGCCUUUCUAUUUGGCGGCUGAUGUGGCCUGACUGUGCCAGGGCCCCCAGCCGGGUUCAGAAGGGUGUGGACAGAGGUCACCAGCAGAUCAGACCACAGAACAAGACCACUUUUAGCGGUCCUGCGGAGCAGAUUCUGGGCUCUUUGGAGAGAAAAGGCCCCCUCACUGGGGAGAGCGGUCCCCACCGAAAUGACACGAUCCUUCUAGAGAGGAAUUGGUGGGUUAUUUCGAGGAUUGUUGUUGCUGUUCAGCUGCUUUUGUCACUUUUUUGGGCUUCUGUUGGCAUAGGAGGAAUGAGGGGACUACACAAAUGAACCGAUUUGCCUGAGGAAAGAAGGCAAGUUGGCAGAAUGGGGAAUGACAAAGUUCUGAUUGUAACACUCAAUGGGACACUUACCACAAAGUGUCAGGCCUGUGCGAGGCACCACCUCAUGUCAUCCUCAUAACAACUAGGAAGCAGCAGCAUCACGCUUGACACGGAAGGAAAUUGAGGCUUCGAGGAGGUAAGAUGCUUGCUGGGGGUGACACAGUUUGUGGCAAUUCCCGAGCUCCCGUGCUGCACGGCCACCCAAUGCCACCUCCCCUUGGUACCCCUCUCAUGCAUCCUGACUCCCCUCGGAGGCUUUUCUGCAACUUCUGAUUGGGGGAAGAGAAAGAGAAGAAACUGAAUCCACGAGCCAAGCUGGCCUCUGUAAUAAAAUGUCAUCCCCCAAGAUGUAAGACAACGGUCUUUGAUAGACUUUGAGAUUCAAUUAUACCUUUAUAUUUCCAGCAGACUCGUCAUCUCUAAAUCAUUCUUUCACUGUAAACACGCCCUAACUCACAAACAGAAUAUGAAACAAAUCAGGCUGGAAAGCCGCGUAGCUUCUGGCCUUCACUCUUCAAAGCACAUGCCUCGCUCCCAAGGGGAGAAGGUUAAGAAAGCUCUGGGCACGGUCUCCAGUUCAAGGCCCAGGGCCUGUCUCACGGAUGGUGAGGAAGUGUCCUCUGACGGGGAGGCCGAAUCAGACUUUUCCAUUCCGGAGUUUUACGGGCUUUUCUCUCCACCCCUGGCCACCCUCUCUCAAACCCUCAGAGGAAGGGUAGCAACUCCUGACUCUGGAUCAUUUCGAUUAUUUUUUCCAGAAGCCCUUCCAAGCGUGCUAUCAGAGGUGAAUGCCAGCACAGUAAAUUUUUCUAACAGCCGCCAGGAGGACGACACGCCCAGCCCAGCCCAGCCCCACUCUUCUGGGAAGCUGGGCCCGCCUAUGGAGAUUGCACCAACCUUGCCAAGAGUGAGAACCCAACCCUGCAUAGGGCCUAACUAAACUAGGUCUUCAACCUCACCCCUCAUUCCAGUCCUCUCCAGGACUCUGUCUUUCUUAUUUUAGCUUUCCUCCUUUCUUUAAGUUACAAAAGUAAUCCAUGCUCAUUGCAAUGUGUUAUUCACCAGUGUGGUAGGAAGCUACGGUUUCCUCCUUCUUCUCUAACCCGAUUCCACAUUCCUGAGUGAGCCGCAGUUGCCAACAGUCUGACACGUGUCCUUCCACAUAUUUCUUUUGGUUCAUGUAGAUAGGAAAGAUUCCCCUACCCCUAAUUUUUGCCCUGUUUACAAAUACGGGAUCAAACUAUACAUGUUUCUCUACGAGUCACUGCUUAGAAUGAACAAGUAGCGUGGACAUCUGUUCAGGUCGAUACGGAGAUGCUGGACUCAUUCUGCUUAAUAAUGUUGCAGGCAUGAGAUUACGUAGCAUGACUGACCACACCUUUCCAAACCAUCCUCUAUCCCUUGACUCUUCUGGACCUUGUGUCUCCCGAAUAUCAUGAUGUUAUAUCACGCCUGACUCCGCAUACCUAUGAAAGCCAUGGUUUCCCUCCAUUCAUAAACUGUCUAUCUUUGGCAAGGUCCUUUCCAGGCUGGCCCAGCCUUGGGAAGAGAACUCCUUACUCAUAGGCUGUUCCAAAGACUGGUCCCUGCCGAGGUGGUCCUGGCCUUACAGGCAGGACUCAGACAGACUUGCAAAAGCAGGUUUCACUGCCAUAAAAUGUGGACUUCCUCUUGGCAAUGAAAAAACCAUGAAGCAUAACUAAACCCUUACGACGUCAUAAACAGGCAUGUAAAAACCCUGUGCAUAAUUCUAGGCAUAAACCCAACACCUGCCAGAAAGACUUAAGAAACAAUCCGUGAGAACAUGAAAAGACGUUGUUUACCAAAGAAAGAUUUUUAUAAUGUGGCUGCUGCAUUUUCUUAGGGAGGGAAGAGGCCCGAAGUGGAGGCAGGCUGCACAAGAUUUCUGUGCUCGUUUAAACCGCACGCAUUUAAAACACUCAGGGUCUGAACCGUUUUGAAACUGGAAGUAAAUUCUUGGAGGCAAUCUGUUUUUCUAGAGCUCUUUUAUGGAAGUCACAUUCGAACAGUUUUAGGAAUCAGAAUGAAAUCUCACCAAACGCAUUAAGAGUUCGCAUCCUUUAGAACCGGUUAUUCCAUUUCUGGAACUCAGUCCUAAAGAAAUUAUCAGCAAUGCCAGCAAAGAGACACGUAAAAAGAUGUUUAUCCCAGCUCUACUUAUAAUUUCGAAAAACAGAAAACAAGCUAAGUGGUCUACAACAGGGAAAUGUCAUAGUCCCCAACUAUAAAAAAUGUUCACAAAAUGUUGAACGUUAAGAAUAAACGCUUAUGCGAUGAUGUUAAGUAAAAAAAAGAGAGAGAAAAUUAUAUGUGAAAACUAUAUGAAAGUAUACAUAGAAAACACUAGAAGGAAACAGACCAACAUGUUAACAGUGGUUUCUCUGGGGGGUAGAAGCAGUGUUAUUUUCUUCCACAUCUCUUUUACUUUUCUGGAAUUAAUAGAUUUUUCUACGAGGAGCCUGUAUUAUUUUUAUAGUGGAGUAAGUGAAAUCACCUUAAACUACACACGAAAGCUGGAACUGAGUCCACUUAGGCUAUUUCUAGGAUCAUGGGAUGGUGUGUCUGAGGCGGGAUGGGUGUGGAUAAGGCCAGAAAUUUUCUCUUUGGUGGGGCGUGAUGGAGAAAACCCCCUCACUCUUUGGCAUCUUGAAGAGUGUGGGCCAUAUAACAUGGCACCUUCUGCAGAACAACGAGCACACAAAGAAAGCUUAACAGCACCAAACAGAUGACGCUGUCAAUUCACUCAACAGUGAGUGAGCACGUACGUCGCACCAGGCACUGGGGGAGUGAGCACCCUUGCAUUCUAGUUUACCGAACAUAAGACUACACCUUGUCCCCAUCAUCAUAUACGACUUACAUCACGUUGACACCUUGAUUUUCCCUCUCUUGGUCUCAGAAAGGUGAACAAAAAGGAAAAUGAUCAAGCUGAGAUCUACCAUGGAUGUCGGGCAAGAACAUAUUGGAAGCAGCCCCAGGACCUUUGCCUGACUCUGCUAAGACUGUGUGUUCCACCUUAGAGCCAGCUCUGGGGAAAGAUGCCGCCAGGCAGUUAUCAAACUUAGGUUUGCAAUUUCUGCUGUCUGAGAGUUCUUGACUGAUGGGCACUCUCGGCACAAAUGUUUAUUGAAUACCUACUAUGUGUCGGUGCUGUUCUAGAAGCUGGGGGUAAUGCACUUGACCAAACAAGGUCCUUGCACUGACGGCACUUGCAUUCUAGCACAGGAAGAGGCAACAGAUAACAUGUAAACUAAUAGGAGCCCCAGGUCACGGUCACUUCCAUGGAAAAGAUCAAUAAAACACACUAAGGGAAUGGAUGACAAAAGGCUCUUUUCCUAGACAGAGAAUUAAGAAAAGUCCUCCCUGAGGAGGUGAUACUGAGCAGAGACCUGGUUGAGCGACACGAAUAUCUAGAGUAGUGUUCUACGUUGAAAGAACAGGUGCAAAGGUCCUGAGGCAGGAGUGUGGCAAGAAAACCAAUGUGCCUGGAGCACUGUGAGCAAGGAGGACAGUGGACGGAGACCAAAGUCAAGGAUGUAGCCGGGAACCAGAUCAGGCAGGGCCUGUGAGGACACGGUAAGGGCUUCAGAUUCUAUUCUAAGGGUAAUAAGAGGCCACUGGCUGGUUUUGAGAUGGAGAGUAAAGCGAUCUGAUUUAGGUUUAAAAAGAUGACUCUGACUACCAUGUAGGGGUAAGAAGGUGAACAAGAAUUCUGGCUAGAAAGCUGCUGCAGAAAUCCACUACAGAUAAUGGUGGAGACGGCCAGAAGUAGGAGAUUCAAGACAGAUUCUGAAGAUGGACUUCACACGGUGUGGGGAUAGACAGAACGUGAGGCAAGAGCCAAAAAAAUCAAAGGUGUUGAGGAAAAUUUCAAGAGAAACUGAGAAGAUGGUGGUGCUAUUUAAUGAUAUGGGGAACCUGAGGGGGUGUGGCUGUUUUGUGUUGUUUUAAGGGCAUGUAACAGACACUACUGGUGCCCAGCCCACCCCACCUCAGGCCUCUCCACAUUAACACCCACGGGUUGACUUAACCGCCAGCAUCUGCAUCUCUGCCUGAGAGCUUUCUCCCAGCUCACCUCCUGGGAGCAGCCCCAUCAGUGAUGCUCAGAAGCUGGUGUAUAAAUACCCCAGCUCCCUCCCCCGGGUGGGAUGAAACGCUGGAUAAUUCUGACAUGUGACCUCCACCACUGUUCCCCAGGGUUCACCCGCGGGAGCAAGCUCCAGCCCCCAUGGUAGUGGCUGGCUUGGUAAUAUCCUUUUCCUGCUUCUCACUCAUUCUCCCCAAUUCCCUUCUAACUCCCAAAUAAAUUACCUGCACUUGAAUCCUUGACGCUGGGUCUGGUCUGGCGGAGUCCAAAUUAACACAGGAAAACAAGAACAUCUCCCUGCUCCUUAUAGCCCACUGUCCCUCACAGCCACAGCUAUUCUCACCGUGUCGUCCUUCUCGUUGCCUCUGCCGGGACAACACUAGCAGAGUCAAGAUGAUCGGUCAUACAGGGUAGGGACAAAGCGGAGGAAUUCUAAUAAGCCAGACUGCCGAUGGGUUUCCCCAUCCUCCUCCCGGGCCUCUUAAUGACCAGUUUGCCUUUUCUUUUCCAACCACUGAGUGCAGCUACCCCAUCAAAACCAAGAAGGAAUAGAAAGAGCAAAGAUCAGAGAGCAUCCAGGGAGAUGUCAGAAGGGAGGAGGCAGGGGAAUGACGGGCCUUUCCUGUCCCCGCCUUCACUGGACAGGUCAGCAAAUGCCCUGCGACACGAAGGCCACAGACUAUCGGCAGCAGCACCAAAUGCCAUUUAUUAAGCAUUGAACUCACAUCGAAAGCCAGGGGCAGGGUGACCUGACCUGCCGUGUGCCCUAUCUCUUAGGGCAGGAAGCCCGCUUGUGUCCGCGGGAGCACUUUCUGUGUCACAAAUGAUUCAGAAUCCUCACUUUCCACUUUCCUUCUGUUGACAUGGAUUGACUGCGAGGGAGAGACGGCUGAAAAAAAAAAAACUGCACAAAGACCCUUUGGUUUGAGCAGAAAAAGCUUGCCACAAAUGACCUGCUGUCGGCGUCCAUCAGGCACGGUGUAAACACGAUCGUCCUUUCUACAGACAAGAAGACAAGGGGCACACGGUCCCGUCGGCGGCCAGGAUGCUGGAGUCUGUACGCUGUCAUCUGGAGCGUCCUGGAGGGCAGCUUCAGGCUCUGGAAUCAGGCAGGUCUGGCAUCCAGCUCCAGCUUAGAGAGUCAAGCCUCUUCCCCGGCCUCCUGUGCAGCAGCACGGGCUCGUCUCCAACACGUGUCUACGCUUCUGUAUCCUCAGCGCUUAUCGCAGUGCUUGGCGCGGAGUAGGAGAGCAGGCUUGGGGCUGUGGAAACAGCACACGCUUCUGAGUUGGACAGGCCUGGGUUCAAGUCCCAGCCCUGCCACUCGCCUCUGAGCAACUUCCUUCCUCGAGCUUCAGGACCCUUAUCUGUAAAAUGGGUAAGACGACCCAUUUUAAAGUGUCGUAUAACUGAGAUAACAGAUGUGGAGCCUGGUCCGGUGCCUGGCAAACUGCGGACACUUGAAACGUGUUCUCCUUUAUGAACAAGCAUUUGCUGAAUGAACUCGCGGAUAAAAAGCACUCCGUCCCAUUCACAACGCGUGUGCCCUCCCCGACACGUAACAGAAACGUGCCAUAUCGGCACAUUUUCCUCUCUGGGUCUCAUGAUGCGGCAGCAGUUCUCUCAUCACAGCAGAGGUUUCUCCAGCUCUGACUUCGUGCAGCAUUAUCACAAGCUCUGAUCUGUUCUUGGAACGGGCACCGAACAAAACCCACAGCUGGCCCCACCUCCAUCCCAACACACACACAGGAGGAACACUGGUUACAAAUAACGCCGAGGGUGUCUCACAGCAUCUCCCCCGGAACGUGUAUUAAUUACAAAUGGAAUUCUCCACUUUCCAGUGAAAAGCUUGACAGACACCACCUUAACCAAGUGAUCCAGGUUAUCAUUUGCAGUAAGAAUACAUAUCAGCACUGUGUGCCCCCACACAUGGUGCACGAGCACAUCGCUUCUGGGGUUUUCUUGCAGAAACCUCAAAACCCCAGUCUAACCAUGAGAAAAUAUCAGACAAAUCCAAAUCGAGGGACCAUCUACAAAAUAACUGACCAGUAUCUUCAAAAGUGUCAAAGCUGCAGGGGGCGGCCUGGUGGCGCAGUGGUUAAGUUCGUGCACUCCGCUUCAGCAGCCCGGGGUUCCCAGGUUCGGAUCCUGGGCGUGGACCUAGGUACAGUAUAUCAAGCCACACUGUGGCAGGCGUCCCACAUGUAAAGUAGGGGAAGACGGGCAUGGAUGUUAGCUCAGGGCCAGUCUUCCUCAGAAAAAAGAGGAGGAUUGGUGGCAGAUGUUCGCUCAGGGCUAAUCUUCCUCAAAAAAAAAAAAAAAAGUGUCAAGGCUGUGAAAGGCAAGGAAAUAAUGAUGGGCUGUCCCAGACUGGAGGAGACUAAGGAGACACGGAAACUAAAUGCAAUGUGGGGCCCUGGAUCAGAUCCAAACAAAGUUCACAGUUCAGUUUAAAAAAAAACGUCAAGGGCAGCCUCACAGGGGAAAAGGAUUGACAAAAGUCCAAGCAAAGGGCACAGGGAAGAGAGAGGGCUAAACCUGGGAACCUGACUGACCAGUGGGGGACGAGAAAGAUUUAUGAACGGACUGAAGUCUAAGCUCCUUUUUUUACCUUUUUUUUUAACCUGAGUACCAAAAGCAGAGUCACUCUCUCCUCUGUAUCCCUCCAGUCCAACCCAGAGUAAGAGAAUAAAUCGGAGCAGCGUUUCACAGCAGCAUAACUUGCUCCUACAUUUUCAUCCAUUUUCAAUAUAAAUAUUAGAUGACAUAAAAUGGUCAAAUGCUUUUUGGACAAAAUAUGUCAAUUAGGUGGAAUUGCCAAAUUGGGACAUAGCCUUAGGCUCAUCUAAAAAACAUGGUCCUGGCCCCUCAGGGAGGAGGGGACCCCACAUGCAGUGGGGGUGGGGGGCCGGCCUGGUGCCGCAGUGGUUAAGUUCGCGCGUUCCGUUUCAGCGGCCCGGGGUUUGUGAAUUCGGAUCCCAGGCGUGGACCUACACACUGCUCAUCAAGCCAUGCUGUGGCGGCGUCCCAUGUACAAAAUAGAGGAAGACUGGCACAGAUGUUAGCUCAGGGCCAAUCUUCCUCAAGCAGAACAAAGAGGAAGACUGGCAGUGGAUGUUAGCUCAGGGCCAAAAAACAAAGUUUGAGUUUUAAAAUUACACAGCUGUCCAAGUAAGGUUUUCACUUUCUAUUUGAGGAAAACCGGGGCCGUGGAGGGAAAGUUGCUGAGGCUCAGCCACGGGGGGUUUAACAGAAUGAUGGCAGGAUGCUGUGCUGCCUUCCCCCAGCUGGUAGCAUCCACUGCAGCCUUACUGUCCUGGCCGAGAAUGACACCAGCUCACGCGUACCAUGGCCCCACCUAGACCUCUGAAUCAGAGCCUUUUGACACGGAAGCUUCAGCAUCUCUCCAGGAAGUGUUCUGUAAGACUCAGGUAGAGAGCAAACACUCGGAGACACCGUUCUUCCGGCUGGACUGUGCGCGAGUGCCUGUGUGCGGGCGCAGGCCUGUGUUAGCUUCAGGGUUUCCAGACGUAUCUGUAGAGUUGUACGGGAUCAUUUCCAUUUUCCUUCACUGUCCCCUUGCCCCUGAGCCCAAAUGUUUCUCUUGCCUCUCUCCAUUCCGUGUCCUUGCCCACGUCUCGUGUUUUAAGGUCCACUCUAUGUGGUAUUCGGUCCCCUGAUCUUCCCCAGCCUUCCUGUUUCAUCUUGAGAUGAGGUGGUAACAGCCUUGGUGCCGACAGGAUCCAUUCGUUCACGGAAUCAUCCACUCAUGCAUUGGGACCAUGUGGGGCCCUGGGGUCACGUAGCACACAAGGCAAGAGCUUCACUUUCAUUGAGUUUACAUAUUAGCAGGGGGGGAUGGUCAAUAACCAAAGAAAGAAAGAUACAAGAAAACAGCCAUAAUGAGGAGUGUUGUGAUGAAACUGAACAAGGGUGGCGUGAUAGGGCGUAAUAAGGGGUGACUUUAGCCUGGGUGGUCAGCCAAGGAGGGACCCAUUUGAGGAGGUGACAUUUAAGCUUAGACCUAAACAUGGGAGAUCCAGCUCUGCCAACAUUUGAGGGAAGAAAGCUUCCAGGCCAAGGGAAGAAUCAGUGCAAGGGCCCUGAGGCAGGUCCAAACCUGGCAGAUGGAAGACAGACAGACAGACAGUGUGGUGCCUCAUAGUGAGUGGAGGGGAAGAGAGUGGUCCCAGAGGAAUCCAGAUCAUGUAAGGUCUUGAAGGGUUCAGCAAUUAGUGUAGAAAGACAAUGAGUGGUUCUAGAUAGAGUAAAAGAAUCUAACUUACGUUUUAACCAAUAUUUUGGCUGUUGUGUGGAGAACGGACUGGAGUGGGGAGGGUGGAAAUGGGUCACGAGAUUACAAGUGGGGGGCCCAGACUAAGAGGGUGCUGCAGUUCACAGGUGAAGGAUGACAGAGGCUGGGCUGGGGCAGUAGAGGUGAGAACAGGAGCUGGAUUUGGGGAGAAAAGCUAAUAGAACUUGUUGAAGGACAAGCUGCGGGGAAUGAGAGAAAGAGGGACCAACAUUGCUCCUGGGGUUUUGCCUUGAGCACACAGGCGAAUGGUGGCGCCACUGGAAAUAAGAACCCUAGGAGAGGAAGAGGUUGGGGCAGGAAAUGGAGUUUUAUUUUAGACAUGUUAAGUUUGAGAUAUUAGUUAAUGAAGUGACAGAAGCCCCCGUCUCAUACUUUAUAUGUAUCAUCACACAAAGGACUAUGAGAUCCCAGACGUUGACUUCCUUUUCAAUUCCUUGUUAGCCAGGAACAAAGAAUAAAACAUUCAGUCUUUCAUAAAACACUUUUAUGCUCAGAGGUUUGGUGGCGCAGCCACGUCUUUCCUGGGAGGCAUAAGUAACCCAUCAGUCACCGUGUCACACCGAGCAAUUGUUCAGGGGGCAGACUAAUUAAAAAUGUAAUCCAUGAUUUUCAUCUUAAUCUCUUUUUCCCAUUAUCUUUGAUCAAUGCUCACAAAUACGAUUUAGGAGAACUUUUCAUUUAGAUAAACGACUGAGUGGGGUACCUAAUUAGUCUGUUUGUUAUGAACCAAUUGAUAACUAAAAUUAUAUGCUAAUGAUUAAAAUCACAUGCUAGGGGCUGGCCCCGUGGCUGAGUGGUUAAGUUCGCGCACUCCGCUGCAGGCGGCCCAGUGUUUCGUUAGUUCGAAUCCUGGGCGUGGACAUGGCACUGCUCAUCAGACCACGCUGAGGCAGCGUCCCACAUGCCACAACUAGAAAAACCCACAAUGAAGAAUACACAACUAUGUACCGGGGGGCUUUGGGGAGAAAAAGGAAAAAAUAAAAUCUUUAAAAAAAAAAAAUCACACGCUAAUUUUUAAAGCAUUUUUAUUAGCACAAAAGCUAUGUUCCUGUUAUCGAACGAAAUGCCCUUUCUAUGCGACACAAAACAGUUGUUCAAACCUGCUUCUCUCGACUUUCAGAAGUCAAGCUGCAGGGUGCUGUGUAGGUGACAGGGCGGCUGAGAAACGCCUGGUCACGCUCGCUCCACACUGUAACACAAGCCACAGUGAACGCUGUGCCAACAGGAAGAUUCCAUGAACUUCCCAGCUACCUGGGGGGCUUCUGCUGCACCCCCACAAAAAACAAAACAAAACAAAAAACAGACAAACAAGAAAAGGAUCAGGCCAGAAACCACAUAAAACAACUAAGCAAAACAAUGUGGGGACAUGAGGACUGGUUUGAGGAAGGGCGAGCUCUGCAGCCUGUUCCAGUGCCAAGGUGGCCACUGACGGUUAUGGCUCUGGUCACCGGGCAAGCCAGGGGAUAUUCAUUUGAUGACCAUCUUUCCUAUCAUCUCUGGCAAAUUUUCCACUGCUUUCAAGUCCCACAGCGCCUCUUAGGAUGCCAAAAUCCUCAAGUUGCUUCAGGUACAAGAGAUCGUCAUGUUUGACCACCCGUCGACGACUCUGGUCUCCUGUAGCCUUUGCUGCCCCUUUAUCAGUGCUUCCUCCACUUGAGUUUUCACUGCCAUUUCAAUAGAAGGGUGAGAAGCGUGAAGAAUGGUGCCUGCCAUCCAUGAAAACCAAUCAAGACUUCUUCCCACGCCGGAUGUGGUCUCAGAAACAGGAGGGCAGGUUCCCAGACAGCAGGUGGGGGGAUGGGGGGCCCAGUCAAUGAAUGAACACACCUUACACGAGAACAUAAGGGUCUCAGACCGCCUAGGCCCUCCGCACACACACACUUUCCGGCGGGGAAGUCCUGGCUGCGGAGCAUCCCUGUGUCCGCCCACACGCUGCACGCGCCCCUUCCAACAGCCCAGUGACAACCGGGGGGGAGGGCAGACUCGACCUGCCUCCCGGCCACCUUCCCCCCGCGUCCCUCCCCGGGACACCCCUGCACCUGGAGCCGCCCACCCCCGGCCCCCUCUCACCGCCAAGCCGCCGGCGGCAGAGCCUCGGAGCCGCUCGCUCCGCGCCCCCCGGAGCAGAGGCGAGACUCGCGGAGAGCAAAGCAGCAGAGGAGGCAGGACGCUUAGCUUCCAAAGCG
Molecule: long non-coding RNA, 16684 nt
Organism: Equus caballus (horse)
Lineage: Eukaryota; Metazoa; Chordata; Mammalia; Perissodactyla; Equidae
Source: Ensembl